This 271-nucleotide unclassified non-coding RNA is filed under the name Hevea brasiliensis (rubber tree). Lineage: Eukaryota; Viridiplantae; Streptophyta; Magnoliopsida; Malpighiales; Euphorbiaceae. The record is from RNAcentral.
CUCAUGCUCUUCACACCGCUGUAUUAAGGAGGGAAGGGAAAUAAAAUUCUCACUUCUGAAAAAUGGAUUUGAUUUCACCUUGGAAUAUGAGAGUCUCUGUAAUCUCAGUUCCACCAAACAAGAGCUUCUCUUACGGCUACCGGUCUUCUCUUUCAAACCACAACUUCGCGUUUUCAUUUUGGAUACAGCCGUUUCAUUUAAGUCCAAUAAAGUCUAGCACACUUCAUGCCAAGAAGAGAAACUCGCAGCCUGAGCCAGUUCUCAAACCAAC